This 409-nucleotide ribosomal RNA is filed under the name uncultured microorganism. RNAcentral describes it as "bacterial SSU rRNA". It matches the Rfam family "Bacterial small subunit ribosomal RNA", at positions 9 to 423 of the family's 1533-position model. The record is from RNAcentral.
GAGUUUGAUCGUGGCUCAGAUUGAACGCUGGCGGCAUGCCUUACACAUGCAAGUCGAACGGUAACAGGUCUUCGGAUGCUGACGAGUGGCGAACGGGUGAGUAAUACAUCGGAACGUGCCCGAUCGUGGGGGAUAACGAAGCGAAAGCUUUGCUAAUACCGCAUACGAUCUACGGAUGAAAGCAGGGGACCGCAAGGCCUUGCGCGAACGGAGCGGCCGAUGGCAGAUUAGGUAGUUGGUGGGAUAAAAGCUUACCAAGCCGACGAUCUGUAGCUGGUCUGAGAGGACGACCAGCCACACUGGGACUGAGGCACGGCCCAGACUCCUACGGGAGGCAGCAGUGGGAAUUUUGGACAAUGGGCGAAAGCCUGAUCCAGCCAUGCCGCGUGCAGGAUGAAGGCCUUCGGUU